This 318-nucleotide ribosomal RNA is filed under the name Triticum aestivum (bread wheat). RNAcentral describes it as "partial small subunit ribosomal RNA". Lineage: Eukaryota; Viridiplantae; Streptophyta; Magnoliopsida; Poales; Poaceae. The record is from RNAcentral.
AUGGCGGCUGUUGAUUUUGAUCUUCGAUUCACAUAUGUGUUGGCCGGUUGGGAGGGGACAACACAUGAUGCUGUAGUUUUACGCGAUGCUUUAGGACGUGAAAAUGGUCUACGUGUCCCACAAGGAAAAUUUUAUCUAGUUGAUGCCGGAUAUGGAGCCAAACCAGGCUUCUUGCCUCCUUUUCGUGGCGUGAGGUACCAUUUAAAUGAGUGGGGAAACAAUCCUGUGCAAAAUGAGAAGGAGUUGUUCAACCUUAGGCAUUCUUCUCUUCGCACAACUGUAGAACGGGCAUUUGGGUUAUUGAAGAGAAGAUUCAAA